RNAcentral lists this ribosomal RNA (473 nucleotides) under uncultured bacterium. RNAcentral's name for it is "SSU rRNA". It matches the Rfam family "Bacterial small subunit ribosomal RNA", at positions 26 to 518 of the family's 1533-position model. The record is from RNAcentral.
AGGACGAACGCUGGCGGCGCGCCUAAAACAUGCAAGUCGAACGAGAAACCCGGGCUUGCCCGGGUGGACAGUGGCGAACGGGUGAGUAACACGUGAGGAACCUGCCCCGAAGACCGGGACAACACCGGGAAACCGGUGCUAAUACCGGAUACCUUCACCGAAUCGCAUGGUCUGGUGAAGAAAUGGAUUCCGCUUCGGGAUGGCCUCGCGGCCUAUCAGCUUGUUGGUGAGGUAAUGGCUCACCAAGGCGACGACGGGUAGCUGGUCUGAGAGGAUGUCCAGCCACACUGGGACUGAGACACGGCCCAGACUCCUACGGGAGGCAGCAGUUAGGAAUCUUGCGCAAUGGGCGAAAGCCUGACGCAGCGACGCCGCGUGCGGGAUGAAGGCCUUCGGGUUGUAACCGCUUUCAGCAGGGACGAAAUUGACGGUACCUGCAGAGAACGCCCCGGCAACUACGUGCCAGCAGCCGC